GAUUGUGAGGCCUCCCCCAAAUUGCCCAGUCUUGGAAAAUCUGAAUUGAUACAGCAGCUCAUCUGAAAAAAAAAGAUGGGGUGGUGGUGGUGGUGGAGAAAACAGCAACUUAAAUAGUGCCAUCUACGAAUUAGGAGUGUUCACUGAAUGAGCAUGAGAUGCAGGUACCUUGUUCCCUCAGCCAGGUUCUAUGUUCCUUAAAGUCCUAAUUUUAGUCAGUAAAUAUUUAUGGCAUUUACUCUAUGCCAGACAAUGUUCUAAAUAUUUUAUUUAUACUGAAUUAUUUGGUGUUUACAUCAGCCAUAUGAUUAACUACUGUUUCCAUUUUGCAGAUGAGAACAUUGAAGCACAGAGAAAUUAUGUUAACUUGUCCAGUGCCAAAGAGCUAUUAAGUGGCAGAGCUGGGAUUUACUUCCACUGCACUGUUGCCUCUUUGGUUAGGAGCUCUUUGCUGUGCUGAGAUUGCAGUAUUUAAAGAUAGACACUGCACCAGGAACUGGAGGACAAGGUAGCCAAUUUCUUGCCAUUCUAUUAAGGGAGGAAGAUUUUAAACAAAUAACUACAACAAAAUGUACAGAGUGGCAUGAUCAAAGGAGUACAAGGAGCUAUCAGAGAUGACUAGGAGUUGGCCAGAUGAAGAAAGUGUAGAGGGAAGUGUCUUGAAACCUUUCCCCUGAACAAACCUGAAAGGUAGAAGACCAUGAGAUGACGCCUCUGGGGGACUGGGUAUAUAGCUCAAGGCUGUCCACACAACUGGGAUAUCCUUUCAUUGAGGUUUUAUGCUCUCUUUUUCAUAGCAUUUAUGCUUUUUAUAUUCUACUCUGUAAUAUAUUUAUGUUGGUUUAAAUAUAAAAGUAAUCUUUUAAAUCUAUUUCUAUCAAGAAAAAGGCCAAACCAAAAUGAUUUCCUUCCUACCACAAGGAAUAUGUACUACUUUUACCUCCUGUUGUGUCCCCAGUAGUUCUAAUUCUACCCCAGUUUGAGAGACAUGGCUCUUAUCACCCCAGAUUUUAUCCUUAGAUUAAUCCAGAGCAUGUGAGAAUUGUCUUGGUUUGGACCAAAUAUAUCAGAGCAACUAAAUUAAAUCUGUGGUAGUGUUGAUAGAUGUUUUCAAAUUCAUCGUUACAUACACCAUAGGGAUGCUACUGACAGUUCCAUUGUCAUGCAGUGACCCCUUUAGGAAGACUUGUGGGAAAAAUGAUUUAUCUGAGGACUCUGGAUCAGAAAUAUCUUUAUUCCUCCAAAGUAUAAUGUGGCCCCUUUAACUGAUCAUUCUUCUUUCUUUGCUUUGGCU
Molecule: long non-coding RNA, 1294 nt
Organism: Homo sapiens (human)
Lineage: Eukaryota; Metazoa; Chordata; Mammalia; Primates; Hominidae
Exons: 3
Source: RefSeq, a predicted model, not a curated record